Long non-coding RNA from Raphanus sativus (radish), 553 nucleotides. RefSeq lists it as uncharacterized. The record is from RefSeq and is a predicted model, not a curated record. NCBI's taxonomy places the organism in Eukaryota, Viridiplantae, Streptophyta, Magnoliopsida, Brassicales, Brassicaceae. The transcript is spliced from 2 exons.
UCAUGGUUCCCAUUAUCACAUCUCUCCUCUACCUUCGAUUGUGUACAACUCAUGGACAAUGGUGGUGAUGAUUGGCGGUGAUGAAACAAUGGAGAACCUCUUCACGUUUCUUCUCUUCCAAGCGACAACAAAGCUGAUGACGACGGUUCGGAACGACGGUGAUGACCAUGACAAUUGGAGGCGGCGAAUUGAGGAUGCCCUGUUUUCUCUGAAACGAUGUGGCUUGGUUAUCGGAGCGACAACAUGAAGCAAAUGCUUUGAUGGCUUGACGGUGGCUGUAGUCUCGGAAACAGAAACUCCGGUGCUCUGGUUUUGUCUUUGGGGGAGACUCUGUGUGACAGGAUAAGUCAGAUUCCCGUCUCACUCUGAAACUCGUUUUACUCGCCAAUUUGUGUCCAGAGACUUUUAGUUAGAUCUUCCAAGGUUUGUGACUAGUUUUGUACUAUCAUUUUUUCUUUUCCGGUGAAACUUCUAGUUGGCUCCUAAUUGCACGGUGGUUCUCAUGUCCUUUAUGUAUUUUUUUAAUAAAAAAGAAUGUACAUGUAUGUUGUUA